This 292-nucleotide small nuclear RNA is filed under the name Jaculus jaculus (lesser Egyptian jerboa). RNAcentral's name for it is "7SK RNA (ENSJJAG00000007903.1)". It matches the Rfam family "7SK RNA". Rfam says of the family: 7SK was discovered as an abundant small nuclear RNA in the mid-70s but a possible function has only recently been suggested. Two independent studies have found that 7SK RNA binds the CDK9/cyclin T complex (known as elongation factor P-TEFb). Lineage: Eukaryota; Metazoa; Chordata; Mammalia; Rodentia; Dipodidae. The record is from Rfam by way of RNAcentral.
GGAUGUGAGGGCGAUCUGGCUGCGACAUCUGUCACCCCAUUGAUCCUAGGGUUGACUCAGCUGAUCUGGCUGGCUAGGCAGGUGUCCCCUUCCUCUCUCACCUCUCCAUGCGCGCCCCUCCUGAAGCUGGGUGCUCAGUCGAAGGGGACGGCCUUCCCCGAAUAGAGGAGGAGCGGUCUUCAGUCAAGGGUAUACAAGUAGCUGCGCUCCCUGCUAGAACCUCCAAACAAGCUCUCAAGUAUAAAUUGAGUCUGAGGCCAGACUGGGAUACAUGCGACAGAUCUCAAAACAG